RNAcentral lists this ribosomal RNA (429 nucleotides) under Pseudomonadota bacterium. RNAcentral's name for it is "Proteobacteria bacterium partial 16S ribosomal RNA". It matches the Rfam family "Bacterial small subunit ribosomal RNA", at positions 355 to 776 of the family's 1533-position model. Lineage: Bacteria; Pseudomonadati; Pseudomonadota. The record is from RNAcentral.
UGGGGAAUAUUGGACAAUGGGGGGUACCCUGAUCCAGCCAUGCCGCGUGUGUGAAGAAGGUCUUCGGAUUGUAAAGCACUUUAAGUUGGGAGGAAGGGCAGUAAGCGAAUACCUUGCUGUUUUGACGUUACCGACAGAAUAAGCACCGGCUAACUCUGUGCCAGCAGCCGCGGUAAUACAGAGGGUGCAAGCGUUAAUCGGAUUUACUGGGCGUAAAGCGUGCGUAGGCGGCUAAUUGAGUCGGAUGUGAAAUCCCCGAGCUUAACUUGGGAAUUGCAUUCGAUACUGGUUAGCUAGAGUGUGGGAGAGGAUGGUAGAAUUCCAGGUGUAGCGGUGAAAUGCGUAGAGAUCUGGAGGAAUACCGAUGGCGAAGGCAGCCAUCUGGCCUAACACUGACGCUGAGGUACGAAAGCAUGGGGAGCAAACAGG